Molecule: ribosomal RNA, 200 nt
Filed under: uncultured bacterium
Lineage: Bacteria
Description: partial 16S ribosomal RNA
Rfam family: Bacterial small subunit ribosomal RNA
Source: RNAcentral
AGCGAACGCUGGCGGCAGGCCUAACACAUGCAAGUCGAACGGACCCUUCGGGGUUAGUGGCGGACGGGUGAGUAACACGUGGGGACGUGCCUUUAGGUUCGGAAUAGCUCCUGGAAACGGGUGGUAAUACCGAAUGUGCCCUUCGGGGAAAGAUUUAUCGCCUUUAGAGCGGCCCGCGUCUGAUUAGCUUGUUGGUGAGG